This 53-nucleotide non-coding RNA is filed under the name Pseudomonas sp. 21C1. The record is from RNAcentral. Lineage: Bacteria; Pseudomonadati; Pseudomonadota; Gammaproteobacteria; Pseudomonadales; Pseudomonadaceae.
CUACAGUCCGCCCGUCGCGGUAAAUCCCGCGACCGGGUGUGGUAGCCCGAUAC